Molecule: ribosomal RNA, 253 nt
Filed under: uncultured bacterium
Lineage: Bacteria
Description: partial 16S ribosomal RNA
Rfam family: Bacterial small subunit ribosomal RNA
Source: RNAcentral
GACAGAGGGGGCAAGCGUUGCUCGGAAUCACUGGGCGUAAAGGGCGCGUAGGCGGGAUGGCAAGUCGGUCGUGAAAUCCUUCGGCUCAACCGAAGAACGUCGGCCGAUACUGCCGUUCUUGAGGGAUGCAGAGGAGAUUGGAAUUCCCGGUGUAGCGGUGGAAUGUGUAGAGAUCGGGAGGAACACCAGUGGCGAAGGCGACUAACUGGACAAGUACUGACGCUGAGGUACGAAAGCGUGGGGAGCAAACAGG